CAGCAGCCACGGUAAUACGAAGGUCCCGAGCGUUGUUCGGAAUCACUGGGCGUAAAGGGAGCGUAGGCGGCGUGGUAAGUCAGAUGUGAAAUCCCGGGGCUCAACCCCGGAACUGCAUCCGAUACUGCCGUGCUAGAGGAUUGGAGAGGUAGCUGGAAUUCUUGGUGUAGCAGUGAAAUGCGUGGAGAUCAAGAGGAACACUCGUGGCGAAAGCGAGCUACUGGACAAUAUCUGACGCUGAGGCUCGAAGGCCAGGGUAGCGAAAGGGAUUAGAGACCCCGGUAGUCCCUGUCUCUUAUAC
RNAcentral lists this ribosomal RNA (301 nucleotides) under uncultured bacterium. Its description in RNAcentral is "partial 16S ribosomal RNA". It matches the Rfam family "Bacterial small subunit ribosomal RNA", at positions 509 to 807 of the family's 1533-position model. The record is from RNAcentral.